GACGAACGCUGGCGGCGUGCUUAACACAUGCAAGUCGAACGGAAAGGCCCUGCUUUUGUGGGGUGCUCGAGUGGCGAACGGGUGAGUAACACGUGAGUAACCUGCCCUUGACGUUGGGAUAACUUCAGGAAACUGGGGCUAAUACCGGAUAGGAGCGCCUGCUGCAUGGGGGGGGUUGGAAAGUUUCGGCGGUUGGGGAUGGACGCGCGGCUUAUCAGCUUGUUGGUUGGGGAGCGGCUUAGCAAGGGUUUGACGGGUAGCCGGCCUGGGAGGGUGGCCGGCCACCUUGGGCCUGCGAUACGGCCCAGACUCCUACGGGAGGCAGCAGUGGGGAGUCUUGUCCAAUGGGGGCACGCCUGAUGCAGCAACCCCGCGUGCGGGAUGACGGCCUUCGGGUUGUAAACCGCUUUCGCCUGUGACGAAGCGUGAGUGACGGUAAUGGGUAAAGAAGCACCGGCUAACUACGUG
Molecule: ribosomal RNA, 468 nt
Filed under: uncultured bacterium
Lineage: Bacteria
Description: partial 16S ribosomal RNA
Rfam family: Bacterial small subunit ribosomal RNA
Source: RNAcentral